GUGAGAUUAAUGCAUCCACCUAAAAGCAUGAAAGCAGAUCAAGUUCAAGUUACAUACGAAAUAAUAAGAUGGCACAAGGGCAUACUGUACCUAAAACCAAAGUUUUGACCUUGAAGUAAACAACUGCCAUAAAGCUUUUGCCGCAUUAUAACCACUAAAAGCCCACACUGACACAUCUAUGAACGGUGUUCUUGCCAAGACAACAAUAACAAUUAACAGAAAAGGAGACUUAUGUUAUCAACCUCUUUCUUUUAUUCUUUUUCUUUCCUUUUAACCUGACAGUGGAAUAUAUAAAACAUAGGCUGGAAUUUCUUUCCACUUUCCUUCAGAGAAAUGGGAUAUAUGUAACUGAUAAGGCUUCCAUAAAAUUAAUUACAGCUUUACAGCAGAAAUAC
Molecule: unclassified non-coding RNA, 395 nt
Filed under: Hevea brasiliensis (rubber tree)
Lineage: Eukaryota; Viridiplantae; Streptophyta; Magnoliopsida; Malpighiales; Euphorbiaceae
Source: RNAcentral